Molecule: transfer RNA, 77 nt
Filed under: Acidobacteriota bacterium
Lineage: Bacteria; Pseudomonadati; Acidobacteriota
Description: Acidobacteria bacterium (activated sludge metagenome) tRNA-Arg
Rfam family: tRNA
About the family: Transfer RNA (tRNA) molecules are approximately 80 nucleotides in length.
Source: RNAcentral
GCGCCAGUAGCUCAGUUGGAUAGAGCAACGGCCUUCUAAGCCGUCGGUCGGGGGUUCGAAUCCCUCCUGGCGUACCA